GAAAUGCGAUAAGUAAUGUGAAUUGCAGAAUUCAGUGAAUCAUCGAAUCUUUGAACGCACCUUGCGCUCCUUGGUAUUCCUUGGAGCAUGCCUGUUUGAGUAUCAUGAAAUCUUCAAAGUAAAUCUUUUGUUAACUCAAUUGGUUUCUACUUUGGUAUUGGAGGUCUUUGCAGCUUCACACCUGCUCCUCGUUGUUCAUUAGCUGGAUCUCAGUGUUAUGCUUGGUUCCACUCGGCGUGAUAAGUUAUCUAUCGCUGAGGACACUGUAAAAGGUGGCCAAGGUAAAUGCAGAUGAACCGCUUCUAAUAGUCCAUUGACUUGGACAAUACUUUUAUGAUCUGAUCUCAAAUCAGGUAGGACUACCCGCUGAACUUAAGC
RNAcentral lists this unclassified non-coding RNA (378 nucleotides) under plant metagenome. RNAcentral's name for it is "partial contains 5.8S ribosomal RNA, internal transcribed spacer 2, and large subunit ribosomal RNA". The stretch from base 1 to 105 matches the Rfam family "5.8S ribosomal RNA", at positions 50 to 154 of the family's 154-position model. The record is from RNAcentral.